This 951-nucleotide small RNA is filed under the name Pan troglodytes (chimpanzee). RNAcentral's name for it is "retained intron". The record is from RNAcentral. Lineage: Eukaryota; Metazoa; Chordata; Mammalia; Primates; Hominidae.
UACGGGGAGAAAAAUGAGCCGCGUGCAGCAGGGGCCGCCUCGGUCCCCUGCCUGCUCCGCCCACGGCGAGCGUUCCUGGGGCCUCGGGUUUCCCCCCUUCCGCUGGCUGCUCGGAAUCGCGGGACGGACCCACCUGGCCGCCCUGCCUCCCUUCCAGUGGGUCCUGGCCUUCGAGAUCUUCAUCCCCCUGGUGCUGUUCUUUAUCCUGCUGGGGCUGCGGCAGAAGAAGCCCACCAUCUCCGUGAAGGAAGCCUUCUACACAGCGGCGCCCCUGACGUCUGCCGGCAUCCUGCCUGUCAUGCAAUCGCUGUGCCCGGACGGCCAGCGGGACGAGUUCGGCUUCCUGCAGUACGCCAACUCCACGUGAGUGCCCACCCGCCCCUCGGAGCACCCACCCCUCCCCAGCCCAUCCAGUGAGUGACAUCCGCCAUGGUGCAGGGUCACGCAGCUGCUUGAGCGCCUGGACCGCGUGGUAGAGGAAGGCAACCUGUUCGACCCAGCGCGGCCCAGCCUGGGCUCAGAGCUCGAGGCCCUGCGCCAGCAUCUGGAGGCCCUCAGUGCGGGCCCGGGCACCUCGGGGAGCCACCUGGACAGAUCCACAGUGUCUUCCUUCUCUCUGGACUCGGUGGCCAGAAACCCGCAGGAGCUCUGGCGUUUCCUGACGCAAAACUUGUCGCUGCCCAAUAGCACGGCCCAAGCCCUCUUGGCCGCCCGUGUGGACCUGCCCGAGGUCUACCACCUGCUCUUUGGUCCCUCAUCUGCCCUGGAUUCACAGUCUGGCCUCCACAAGGGUCAGGAGCCCUGGAGCCGCCUAGGGGGCAAUCCCCUGUUCCGAAUGGAGGUGAGGGCAUCCAUGUGUGGGAUGGGCCUGGAGUGCUGCCUGCCUCUGGGGGUGCUUCUGCUCCGUGGGUGAGGAAAGGGCCCCUUUGGUGACUUGGAGCUCCUCCUGGG